AGCAGCCGCGGUAAUUCCAGCUCCAAUAGCGUAUAUUAAAGUUGUUGCAGUUAAAAAGCUCGUAGUUGAAUUUCGGGGUUAGUAGGUUGGUCAUGCCUCUGGUAUGUACUGGUCUCACUGAUUCCUCCUUCCUGAUGAACCUUAAUGCCAUUUAUUUGGUGUUUUGGGGAAUUUGGACUGUUACUUUGAAAAAUUAGAGUGUUUAAAGCAAGCUAACGCUUGAAUACAUUAGCAUGGAAUAAUGAAAUAGGACGUUCGAUCCUAUUUUGUUGGUUUCUAGGAUUGACGUAAUGAUUAAUAGGGAUAGUUGGGGGCAUUAGUAUUCAAUUGUCAGAGGUGAAAUUCUUGGAUUUAUUGAAGACUAACUACUGCGAAAGCAUUUGCCAAGGAUGUUUUCAUUAAUCAAGAACGAAAGUUAGGGGAUCGAAGACGAUCAGAUACCGUCGUAGUCUUAACCAUAAACUAUGCCGACUAGGGAUCGGAUGAUGUUAAUUUUUUAAUGACUCAUUCGGCGCCUUAC
RNAcentral lists this small RNA (520 nucleotides) under uncultured Glomus. RNAcentral describes it as "SSU rRNA". It matches the Rfam family "Eukaryotic small subunit ribosomal RNA", at positions 569 to 1091 of the family's 1831-position model. Lineage: Eukaryota; Fungi; Glomeromycota; Glomeromycetes; Glomerales; Glomeraceae. The record is from RNAcentral.